Molecule: long non-coding RNA, 121 nt
Organism: Haliotis rubra (blacklip abalone)
Lineage: Eukaryota; Metazoa; Mollusca; Gastropoda; Lepetellida; Haliotidae
Exons: 4
Source: RefSeq, a predicted model, not a curated record
ACAGAAGCAAGCAGAUAUUGAAUGAAAACUUCCCAGCAACAUCCAACAGUCUAAAACAUCACAUUGAGCGAGUAGACUACGGAGUACAUGUUUGGAAACAGCCUCUUGGCAUCGAAUUAUA